GUGAGGAAUAUUGCGCAAUGGAGGCAACUCUGACGCAGCCAUGCCGCGUGCAGGAAGAAGGCGCUACGCGUUGUAAACUGCUUUUAACCGGGAAGAAACCCCAGGACGUGUCCUGGGUUGACGGUACCGGAGGAAUAAGCACCGGCUAACUUCGUGUCAGCAGCCGCGGUAAUACGAAGGGUGCAAGCGUUAUCCGGAUUCAUUGGGUUUAAAGGGUGCGUAGGCGGAGCGUUAAGUCAGUGGUGAAAUCCUGCAGCUUAACUGUAGACUUGCCAUUGAUACUGGCGCGCUUGAGUGCGCUUGAAGUGGGCGGAAUGUGCCGUGUAGCGGUGAAAUGCUUAGAUAUGGCACAGAACACCAAUUGCGAAGGCAGCUCACUAAGGCGAUACUGACGCUGAGGCACGAAAGCGUGGGGAUCGAACAGGAUUAGAAACCCGAGUAGUCC
RNAcentral lists this ribosomal RNA (445 nucleotides) under uncultured bacterium. RNAcentral describes it as "partial 16S ribosomal RNA". It matches the Rfam family "Bacterial small subunit ribosomal RNA", at positions 354 to 796 of the family's 1533-position model. The record is from RNAcentral.